UCCUUUUUCCUUUUGCUGUAUCAGAAUAUUAGAAACAGUAUUAUUGAUGUUCAAUAUAAUAAUAAAAGGUUACGUUUUUCAUACUUGGUGUACUCCGAUCUUUACUUUCGUCUUCUACAACUCCGGCUACCACCGCGCCUGAGUUCCUCCGACAACCACCGUCGGGUUUCGUCUCCGUGGUCUCUCGCCUCUCUCGCUCUGUUCUCUCACUUCGUCUUUUGUUUUGUUUGGAAUGCCACGAAGGCAUUCAUCCCCUCAGAACAUAACAACGUUUUUGGGCUGCAGAUGAAAGUGGGCCUCUGUG
Molecule: long non-coding RNA, 304 nt
Filed under: Vigna radiata
Lineage: Eukaryota; Viridiplantae; Streptophyta; Magnoliopsida; Fabales; Fabaceae
Description: long non-coding RNA (VRAD_LNC005871)
Source: RNAcentral